RNAcentral lists this ribosomal RNA (496 nucleotides) under uncultured bacterium. RNAcentral's name for it is "partial 16S ribosomal RNA". It matches the Rfam family "Bacterial small subunit ribosomal RNA", at positions 28 to 507 of the family's 1533-position model. The record is from RNAcentral.
GACGAACGCUGGCGGCGUGCCAAUUCAUGGCAGUUGAGGGGAUAAGAUUGGUGCCUGCCCCCAUUUGAAGAGGCGCGAAAGGGUGGGUUAAGCGUGGGGAAUCUGCCUUUGAGCGGGGGGACACCUUUGGAAAACAAUGCUGAUACCGCCUAACAAAUUUAAACAUAAGUUUUAAGUUUGAAAGAUGCAAUUGCCUUACUCAAAGAUGAUUCCGCGUUGUAUUAGCUAGUUGGUGAGGUAAAGGCCCACCAAGGCGAUGAUACAUUGCCGACCUGAGAGGGUGAUCGGCCACAUUGGGACUGAGACACGGCCCAAACUCCUACGGGAGGCAGCAGUAGGGAAUCUUCGGCAAUGGACGAAAGUCUGACCGAGCAACGCCGCGUGAGUGAAGAAGGGUUUCGGAUCGUAAAACUCUGUUGGUAGAGAAGAACGUUGGUGAGAGUGGAAAGCUCAUCAAGUGACGGUAACUACCCAGAAAGGGACGGCUAACUACGUG